GUAGGUGAACCUGCGGAAGGAUCAUUGGGGAGAUUGAUGAGUGGGGGGUUGAGGAGAGUUGGAAUGAGAAUGACAAAUUAUUAUUUAAUUCAACAAACAAACACAACUGCUGACAAUGGAUCUCUGGGCUCUU
RNAcentral lists this unclassified non-coding RNA (133 nucleotides) under rhizosphere metagenome. RNAcentral describes it as "partial ribosomal RNA internal transcribed spacer region". The record is from RNAcentral.